This 7216-nucleotide long non-coding RNA is filed under the name Sus scrofa (pig). RNAcentral describes it as "lncRNA (ENSSSCG00000053170.1)". The record is from RNAcentral. Lineage: Eukaryota; Metazoa; Chordata; Mammalia; Artiodactyla; Suidae.
CUCUGCCUAAUGAGCCAAGGCCAGUGAUGGAAGGCACACCCUGCAGAGAGAUGCUUUCUCCCUCUUGCUAAUAAACUUUUCCCUGGGAUCCACAGCUGGAUUCACCCAUGAAUACAGCCCUAGGUGUUAGGGGAGGGGGAGACAGAGGGGCGCAGUAACAGCUCAUUUAGCAGGAAACAAAUGGUCUCCUUUCAGGCCAACAACUAAAACAUUAUGCACUCAGACAAGCGCGGGGGACCAAGACAGGUACCGUGUGGCUCAGAAAGACAUGCAGAGGACAAGCACCUACUCCUUUGAGAAAUCCCCCGACAGCUUUCGGGAGGAAAAAAAAAUCCCACAGAAACCAAAACGUGCUAUUUCCUUCAAACAACCCGGAAGGCACAACCUAAGAGCAUUGGUUGUAAUAAAAUAUUGAAAUCAAGAUGAUGAUUAACAGUAAGAAUAGUUUGUACAUGUUGUGUGCAGUCCCUUGUCAUUCACAAAUCACUUUCACAUGCAUCAUCUCUCUGAAGCUUUACUAUAACUUUAUGGAGCAGGACGGGUGAGAAGUGGUACCCCUGUUUAGAGAGAAGGAUUUGGGGAGGCUGUGAGCUUAGACCCAAUGUCAAACAAGCCAAAUGUCAAGGCCGCCGUUCAAACCAAGCCUUCUAAUUCCAAAGCCACUGCACUUGCCCUAUUAGGACAUCAGAUCCAACCUUUUUAUAGUCCUUUUCUACUUUUUUGAAUCAUAAUAUGUUAGGGUUAGCCAAGUCCUUAAUCCCUGGAAACCUGGAACCCAGAAAUGUAAACAAUAUACUCAAGAUGACCCAUGAGAGAAGGACCGGCCUUUGAUCUGCAUUCUUCCUCCAAGUCAUCAUUCUGCCACUCAGUUCCUUUGUGUCCCUAGUAACAAAAGACCUUCCUACAGACAUCAGCAAUAAAAAUAUGUUUUUAUGUUGUCCCCUUAAAAACAGUAGAUGCCAGCAACUAAUGUAUGUCUUUUUUGACACAAGCCUUUACUUCUAAUAAAGCCAUACACUUAAUGUGGUGGCAGAAAUGAGCACAGAAGGAGAGAUUCAAGAGUGUUCCCUGCACACAGUAGGGGUUCCCUAAACGUUGUGCUGAAUUGAAUAGAGUGAAAUAAGCAUGGAGCCACAUAGAAAAGGGAAAGAAGAGAUAUUUUGCAUGUACAUAGACGGAAAUGCAUCUACUCUGUGCAAGACACUGUGCUGUGAGUUUGGCACAAAGAAGACAUUUGCCAUAUUCCAAGCUGGUUUUCGACAUCAGCUUGAAGCUCCCACUGUCUUUACAUUGCCUGCUCGCUGAGAGAACACAGCGGGAUGUGUGUUUCCAGGCAAUCCCUUGGAAAAUGUUUGACCUUGACUGAAGCUUUGACACUGUUUUCAUUGUCACCUCUGUGUCAUUUUUUUUAGGGAAAAAUUCUGGAGCCAAGAAAGAAGUAUGUAAAGGAAGUAGAACUGUUAGUAAAAUCCCGGUGACAGUGCAAUUACUACAACCCGAUGUCAGGAGAUAUUGUCUCAUGCUGUCACUGAGCCCGCUUGUAGAAGAUUUGGCCUGAUGGUGACUUCUGUCAAUUUCUGUCUAUUUCCACUCCUCCUUUCAAUCCACUGAUGGCUUCAAAGUAUUUAGGGGUUGGUUCUGCAGGAAGGAGGAAAUGUCGCUGAUCACCCCUUUACACCUGGGGCUAGAAAGUGUUCUAGUGAUCGCUAUUAUUACUGAACACCUGCAAUGAUGACAAUUACCUUAAAAUCAAAAGAACAGCUAACUUUCAUUGAAUGUUUACUACGCGUCCUAUGCUAAGUGCUUCACAUGCAUUAUUGUAUUUAGUCUUCAUACAGCACCCCUCCAUUGUUUAGGCCAGAGCUAUAUAACUACACAGCGGCCAAGUCAGAUUCCAACUUCAGAGCCUGUGUUCUCUGCCGGUACUCCACCACUCAUUCUUCUAUUCAUUCGUACAACCUCUGUCUACUGGGCACUGAGCUAGCUCCAGGACUACAGAGAGCAAAGAUCGACACUGUGUUCUCAGGCAGCUCACAGGACCCCAAGCAGUCAGAUAAACUAAAGGUCACAUAUUAUGUGCCAAGUGUGGUGGCAGAAGGGCUUGCUGGGUUCUCUGGGCAUGAAGGAGCCAUGGACGGCAGUUCACUCAUGGUGGGUGGAGCACAGGCAGCAGGCACAGAGUUGUGAAGGCACGGGAGAGCAUGGGCAUGAUCAGGGGUCUCCAAGUAGUUCCCAAAGGAUGGCACCCAGAGGAGAGACUCAGGUAGUCCAUGGAAAGACGACUGGAGAGGAAUGAGACUGGAAAACAGGGUGGAAACCAAGGAGAGGCUUUCUGCCAUGCGAAAGACUUUGAGUUUUAUCCUGAAAGCCACAGUGGCCCCUGAGAGUUUGUACGUAAGUGUGUGAUGUUUAGGGGAAACGCUUACUACAUCCUUCCACUCCAGUCCUCAGGAGGGAAAAGCAGAGCAGAAAUGCUUCCAUCCUCUCUCCUCAAAGGAAAGGGAUGGAUUUAUCUUUUGGGUGAAAUCAGAAGUGAGCAAACAUGUGUGGCUGUAGCAGAUAUGGUCGCUCUUGGCACCAUUCCAGUUCUGUAUUUGCAUUUCUUAUCCUUUCGUGUGAGACUGAGAAGUGACUCCAGGACACUCUAGGGAUGGAGCAGACACACUUGCAUGAGGCUUGGAAGGAGGAAGAGAAAGAUAGGCGGUAUCUGCCAUGUGCAAGGAGAAUAUCUCUUCUGGAACAGCUCAGACCAACAUCCUCCUAUCUGUCUAGCAACAGUGGCGUCUCCACCCUAACAGUCCAUGGAGUGAUUGUGCAACCGUUCUGACAUCCAAGUCUGGCUCCCAGACCCCUCCUGGAAUGCAACUGGCUACCCAACACCCAUUAUUAAAUCCCUUUCUGCUUAAGUUAUUGCAUCCGCAACUAAGAACCUAACUGAUACAACAGAAUAGCUCCUUUCCUUCUCUCAUUCAGAGCUUUCUGACCUCAGAAGAUCCUUAUUCACUGCCCACCCAUGAAAUAAGCCAGUGAGGCCACCUUUGCUCCUACAGGGAAAGAGAGACCUGUCAAUAGAUAUCCAGCUCAGAUAAACUCAAGGAGAAAGUUUGGGAGGCCUGAUGUAGCUACACAACCUAACUAAACUCUCCAAUCAAGUAUUAUCAGAAAUAAGGCCCAUGUUUCACCUUUUUCAAUUCCAGUAUCCAUCUCCCAUUUGGUUUUUUAACUUGAAAAGUGAAAGGAUAUGAGUAAGUAUCAUCUCUCAAAAAUAUUCCCCAUCUAAAAAAAAAAAUGAGAUCACAUUGAUGAUUUGGAAGCAGGGUGACCAGUUAGAAUCAGCCAUCUGGCUGGUGCAAACCCAAUUCCAGAGCCAGUCUGGAGUAAGGAAAGGGAUGUUUCUGUGAUAAUCAGAAAGGCAAUGAGAGCCCAUGGGGUACAGAAACUUCAGCUCUGAGAUGCAGUCUGUUGAUUACCAGGAAAUCCUUUUUGCAAAAGAGGUCAUAAUCUCAAACUCAGCUCACUUGUAUUACUUGCAGGGGGCUGAUUUCCCCCUUGACACUCACCAAAUUGCCCAACACACCUGCUUCCAAAGCCUGUGGUCUUCACACCUGAACCUCUUAGAGCCGAAAAUGAGGGAUGAAUAAGAAAUAGGAAUAACUAACCCCGCCUGGAGCCAUAAAGACUAGACAGGACAUGAGCUAAAUUAAAGAAACAAUAGCUAGGAAGCCCAACGAUUUCUAGCCCCUGAGCCUCUUAUUACUAGCAAGUCCAAAUUCUCCUACCUCACCCUGCCCUCUCUCUGCUACCUCUGGACCCUGCUCAGUUUUCCCCUCCCUGAAAUAAGGAAAGAUUGCAAAUAAAGCUGUCUUUGUUGAGUAACUAGCUUACACUCCAUACGACAAUGGGAGGUAGAAAGCAAAAGAGUAGAUGACUAUACUCAAGGGCUGGCAACCCCAGAGAAACCUGAGGGGAUGCAGGAAUGAUGGGAGUAGGUAUGGCAGAGAUGCCUAGUGUGCCCACUGGCAUCCAUUCUUCCCAUCUUCUAACAUAGCACCCAAUGCUGGCAUAUGGCAAUGCAGAAGAAAGACAAUACUAUGUAGCCCCCUUUCUGUUAGGAGUGGCUAGUUGACUUGGCCCUGGCCAAUGAGGAUGUCAAAAGAAACUAUGGGUUCAACUUCUAGCCACAUCCUUAAAAGAAGUGAAGAAGAUUCUCCUUUGACCUACUUCCCCUCCCCAGCUAUUGAGUUUGAAUGAGGAAGUGGUGACAUUCCCACAUGGGUCAUGAAGAUGACAACAACGUCCCAGGGAUGGAAUAGUGGCAAGCCCAGAGAGCCUGGAUCCUGCAUGACUUCACAGGUGGGAGCUUCCUGGACACUCAGACUUUUACAAAACUGAGACAUCUAUUUCUACCAUUUUAAAGAUGGUUUUAAGCUGCUUUAUUUGAUGUCUUGUACAAACAUGCAGUUUGUUUGAACUUAUAUCCUAAAGAAUUGAGAUGGUAUACCAACACUUCACUUAUCCAUCAACCAAAUGUUUCCAGAAAACAGGUGGUAAACAAAGAUAGUAACAAAAGACAUCCCCCAAAAGCCAACUUACAUUCUCACUGGAGGCUGAUGCACUUUAGUCACAGGAAUGGCACCCUGUCUAAGACUUGGUUGAUGCUUAUAGACCCUUAUCAUAUCCAUAUUUACAGUGAGCAUGAUUUCUGCUUACACAUCUUCAGAGCCAACACAAGGAUGGACAAAAAGGAAAGAAGAUUUCUUUAGAGGCAGAUAAAUUUAUGAUACCAAGACACAACAGCACAAUCUGACAAUGAGGGAAGAGACUACAAAGGCAUAAAAAAUAGAUAUAAGAAUUUAAAUCCAUACACCCAUAGGUUUGGGGCCACUCAUAUAUAAGGGCAAACAGUCCUAUAUCUCUAAACUGCCCUUAAGAAUACCAAAUAUGGAGUGCCCAUCAUGGCUCAGCAGUUAAGGAACCUGACUAGCAUUCAUGAGAAUGUGGGUUCGAUCCCUGGCCCUGCUCAGUGGGUUAAGGAUCCUGCGUUGCCAUGAGCUGUGGUGUAGGUCGCAGAUGUGAGUUGGCUCUUGCAUUGCUGUGGCUGUGGUGUGGGCCAGCAGCUGUAGCUCCAAUUAGACCCCUAGCCUGGGACCCUCCAUAUGUUGCAGGUGUGGUCCUAGAAAGACCAAAAACAAAACAAAACAAAACAAAAAACAAAUAUAUACCUGACGUAAUAGUUGAUGUACAAAAUGAUAUUUCUGAGUAAUGAUCUAUUUUUAAAAAGCAGAGAAGUAUGUAAUUCACAUAUUGUCAAAACAUUAGUCUUCUUAAACUUUGCUUAUUUGAAACGUCUCAGUGCCAUACAUAUAAAUUAUUGCAUAUAAUUCAAUGUUAAAUGAAAUAUAUUUUGAUAUCACACAUGUAAGUCAGUAUUAAAACCAUUCAUGCUGAACCUACACUUUUUGGGCCUUGCCCUAAAUGUGAUGUCCUAGAGGUGAAUCAGACACAUCGCUGCUGUCUGGCAACUCCUGGUCUAGUUUUGACAUAGACAAUAAAAGAGAUCAUUAUAACACCAGAUCAAACCCCUACAGGAGGAAAAUCAGAUGCAAUGUAGAUGAAAGGGAAAAAAGAUUACUGUCCAUAAUCUAAAAGAAACCCUUACAAAAUGAUAAGAAAAAGAUGAACCAUCCCCCCAAGAUGGGCAAAGACAAUGAAUUAGCUGUCUGCUGAGAAGCAAAUCCAAAUGCCUAAGAAAUGUAAAAGGAUGCUCUUCCUUUGUUGUCAUCAAGAAAACACAAAGUAAAUACUAAUGAGAUAUUACGUAUUCAUUAUCAAGUUAGCAAAAGUAAUAGAGAAUGAUAGUAUGUGCUGUUGGCAAAGAUGUGAUAUGGGAGAUGUGGCUUCAUAUGUGCCAAUGGAAGUGAGAACUAUAUUGUCUUUAGAAAGAUAUAUAGGGUAUCACCUACUAAAAAUUUAAAAAGCAUAUAUCCUUUGACUCUGAAGUAUUAGUUAGGGUAAACUACUCAUAAAAGUUAAAGCAUCAAAGGAUACUGAUAAAUGAACAAGGAUGCUUACUUCAGCAUUGCUUAUAAAAGUUAGUGGAACAAAAGUAAAUGCUUAUCAGGAGAGAAAUGGUUGAAAACCUGUUCAUAGCACUGAAACUUACACAGCCGUUGAAAAGAAUAACACAUCUACACCAAUUGACUGAGGGAGGCCUGGAGGGAGAUAGUUCCAUAGUGUUUAAAGUGAUAAAAGCAAUCUGCUAAGGAAUGGAUAUAUGAUCCCAUGUUUUAAGUCAAUGGCAAAAAUCCCUGCACGUGUGGGUGUGUGAACAUAUUCGUAUAAAUGUUAUAGGAGCUUAGAGGAGAACAUGGAAGGCAUUCUGGUUGUUAGUUUGGUGGGCAAGGGAGAGUACAUAAAUGACUAUAUUUUAAAAAUAGAUGUCCAGCAUAAAAAGUAAAUAGUUGGCAUAAUAAGCCAGAGCAAGUAAAAUUAUAUCUACGUACAUAUGCUUAGCAUAACUGUCUAAAAAGAUAAAUGAAAGGACGGUUACCAAAUUUAAGCAAGAUAAAGAACUGGGAUUUCACAUUAUUUCUACUAGCUUCUAAAGUUUUUCUAUGGUUUCUCAUUUCUUACAAUGAAUCUGUUUUACUUAUAUGAUUUGGAAAUUCAUAACAUGAUAAAAACAAACAAGGUCAGUGUUGGCCAAUAUCGAGUGGCCUUAACUAAGAAGCCGUCAUGAGGGGAAUGAUAGCUGAAAUCACCUAUAGUAUUCUAUUGGACUGGGAGGACAUGCGAAAAAAAGAAGGUGUUCCAGGCAGGAAGAACUUCUUACAGAAGUAUGACGGUGGAAAUAAAUAAAAGGAGUACCCUCAGCAUCCCCUUCAUCUGGAAGAGAAGAUUAAGAAUAAGGAAAUGGCUGGAGUUCCACAAUCCCAGUAACACCGUACAGAUAAGAAGGAGAAAUGGCCACCACAGUGCCUGUACCAAAAUGUGAUUUUGAGAGUUAACAUUAACAAAUGAAAACAGCUUGGUUUCUCCAAGUGCUACAAAUUGACAAAUAUUUUGAGUUCUUAGGACUCUGUCCAUGGUGACACCAUGUGUUUCAGUCAGAUGAAAACUUCAGUUGGGUAACAAUUUUCAUUUUCAACCCUCCUUUCUGUCAGUUUCAAACUCGGCUGUAAAUAUUUGCUUGGAGAAAAAAAAUGUCACUAAAGAU